This 1497-nucleotide ribosomal RNA is filed under the name uncultured bacterium. RNAcentral's name for it is "bacterial SSU rRNA". It matches the Rfam family "Bacterial small subunit ribosomal RNA". The record is from RNAcentral.
AUUAGAGUUUGAUCCUGGCUCAGGAUGAACGCUGGCGGCGCGCCUAACACAUGCAAGUCGAGCGAGCAGUCACUGUCCUUCGGGGUGGUGGCGGGCGAGCGGCGAACGGGUGAGUAACACGUGGGUAACCUGCCCCAGAGACGGGGAUAACCACUGGAAACGGUGGCUAAUACCCGAUGGCCUCAUCUACUCUGCGGGGUGGAUGAGGAAAGGGGCGGCAGUCGAAAGGCUGUCGUACCGCUCUGGGAGGGGCCCGCGGCCUAUCAGCUUGUUGGUGGGGUAACGGCCUACCAAGGCGACGACGGGUAGCUGGCCUGAGAGGGUGGUCAGCCACACGGGGACUGAGACACGGCCCCGACUCCUACGGGAGGCAGCAGUGAGGAAUCUUGCACAAUGGGCGCAAGCCUGAUGCAGCGACGCCGCGUGGAGGAAGAAGCCCUUCGGGGUGUAAACUCCUUUUCUGGGGGAAGAGGGAGGACGGUACCCCAGGAAUAAGCCACGGCUAACUCCGUGCCAGCAGCCGCGGUAAUACGGAGGUGGCGAGCGUUAUCCGGAUUUACUGGGCGUAAAGCGUCUGUAGGCGGUCGUGCAAGUCGGUGGUGAAAUCUCCCGGCUCAACUGGGAGGGGUCCAUCGAAACUGCACGACUCGAGGGCCGGAGAGGGGCAUGGAAUUCCCGGUGUAGCGGUGAAAUGCGCAGAUAUCGGGAGGAACACCAGAGGCGAAGGCGGUGCCCUGGCCGGAACCUGACGCUGAGAGACGAAAGCGUGGGGAGCGAUCGGGAUUAGAUACCCCGGUAGUCCACGCCGUAAACGAUGGGUGCUCGGUGUUGGUCCCGUACAGGGGUCAGUGCCCAAGCUAACGCGAUAAGCACCCCGCCUGGGGACUACGGCCGCAAGGCUAAAACUCAAAGGAAUUGACGGGGACCCGCACAAGCAGCGGAGCGUGUGGUUUAAUUCGAUGCAACGCGAAGAACCUUACCCGGGCUUGACAUGCAGGUGGUAGGGAGCCGAAAGGUGACCGACCCUUCGGGGAGCCUGCACAGGUGCUGCAUGGCUGUCGUCAGCUCGUGCCGUGAGGUGUUGGGUUAAGUCCCGCAACGAGCGCAACCCCUGCCGUGUGUUUCAUGUGUCACACGGGACUGCCGGUGAUAAACCGGAGGAAGGUGGGGACGACGUCAAGUCAGCAUGGCCUUUAUGUCCGGGGCGACACACACGCUACAAUGGCCGGUACAGAGGGUAGCCACGCCGCGAGGCGGAGCGAAUCCCAAAAGCCGGUCUCAGUUCGGAUCGCAGUCUGCAACUCGACUGCGUGAAGGCGGAGUUGCUAGUAACCGCGUAUCAGCCAUGGCGCGGUGAAUACGUUCCCGGGUCUUGUACACACCGCCCGUCACGUCAUGGGAGUCGGCAACACCUGAAGUCGGUAGCCUAACCCGCAAGGGAGGGCGCCGCCGAGGGUGGGGCCGGCGACUGGGACGAAGUCGUAACAAGGUAACCAA